Molecule: small RNA, 2968 nt
Filed under: Pongo abelii (Sumatran orangutan)
Lineage: Eukaryota; Metazoa; Chordata; Mammalia; Primates; Hominidae
Description: retained intron
Source: RNAcentral
AAAUAUGGAGGAUGAGGGGAAGAUAUCAAGAAUAACGGCUAGGUUUUUAGAACAGGUUUUGUAGCUUGGGGGAGAAGAAACAAUUGUACAUAUUGGUCUGAGGGACCUGUGGAAGAUUCAGGUUAUGUCUAGUGGGUAGUUAGAUACAGCAGAGAAAUAGGAGCCAUCUGGCCCCAACACAGUAGAUUCGUGAACCACCAGGGUAUAAGCAAUAACUGAGGCCAAUAGAGUCCUUUAUAGCUUUGAAAUUUAAAAUUAUUUCCUCAUAGCUCAUUUUGUUCACAAUUUGUGAGAUUUUUAGGAAGAGGACUAUUAAGAGGUAGAUUGGGGGGUAACAUGCCUUUUUAAAAAAAAGUAUUACUUUUUUAUACCUCUAGAACAGGGGUUUCUAAAAUAAGGGUGUGUAUCCUAUAGAGUUUACCAAAAUGAUUGCUGGAAUAGGGAAGGAAACAUUAGAAGUUCUAUUUAUGGUUAUUUUUCUCCUAUUUUAAUACCAUUUUGGUAUAUAUUUUGUUAUGCACAUCUACAUUUAUAAUUUAUAUAAUUAGAAAUAUAUAGUAUGUUCAAAAACUGAUCAAGAUCUAUGAUUACUUUGGAAGUCACUACUCUAUAAGUAAUUGCUACAAAUGAAGACUUGUGAGAGUUUCUAUAUACAUUUCUCAUUUUUUGGAUGUAAAAAUUAAUGAAUACUCAAUUACUAAAUUUUGCAUAAGACCUAAAAAUAUUUUCAUUUCUAUAGAUUUUCAAGUGUUUGUCUUUUUCUUGUGAAUAUUACAUAACUUUAGCAUUACAUUUUCAAGUGUUUUCUUUCAGCUUAAUGUUGCUUUUAGCAGUAAAUCAAACUCUUAUUAGCAAGACGGAGGAACUGAGUAAAUUUUGAUAACGAGGGAUACUUAGUUUUGUUUCUGGAAUUUCAUGUAAGUAGUAAUUACAAGACUUUCCCCUUUAGCCACCUCGUACAUCUCAUCCUGUAGUGAAGUUUUCCUGUACAGACUGUGAACCAAUGGUUAUUGAUAAACUUCCUUUUGACAAAUAUGAGUUGGAACCUUCACCACUGACUCAAUUUAUCCUGGAAAGGAAAUCUCCUCAAACAUGUUGGCAGGUGUACGUGAGCAAUAGUGCAAAAUACAGUGAACUUGGUCAUCCUUUUGGUUACUUGAAAGCCAGUACAGCACUGAACUGUGUCAACUUAUUUGUGAUGCCUUACAAUUAUCCAGUCCUUCUUCCCCUCUUAGAUGACUUGUUUAAAGUGCAUAAAGCAAAACCAACAUUGAAGUGGAGACAGUCAUUUGAAAGUUAUUUGAAGACAAUGCCUCCCUACUAUCUCGGGCCCUUGAAGAAAGCUGUUAGGAUGAUGGGAGCACCUAACCUAAUAGCAGACAGUAUGGAAUAUGGACUUAGUUACAGUGUCAUUUCAUACCUCAAAAAACUGAGUCAACAGGCCAAAAUAGAAUCUGAUCGAGUCAUUGGAUCUGUAGGCAAAAAAGUAGUACAGGAAACUGGAAUAAAAGUCCGGAGCCGAUCACAUGGUUUAUCAAUGGCAUAUAGGAAAGAUUUUCAACAACUCCUCCAGGGAAUUUCAGAGGAUGUCCCUCACAGACUGCUAGACCUUAAUAUGAAGGAAUACACUGGGUUCCAAGUUGCUUUGCUGAAUAAGGAUUUGAAGCCACAGACAUUUAGAAAUGCUUAUGACAUACCAAGACGAAAUCUUUUGGAUCACUUAACAAGAAUGAGAUCUAAUCUUUUGAAGAGCACUCGCAGAUUUCUGAAAGGACAGGACGAAGAUCAAGUGCACAGUGUUCCUAUAGCACAAAUGGGGAACUACCAGGAAUACCUCAAGCAAGUACCUUCUCCACUAAGAGAACUUGAUCCUGAUCAGCCGCGAAGGUUGCAUACAUUUGGCAACCCCUUUAAGCUGGAUAAGAAGGGUAUGAUGAUAGAUGAAGCAGAUGAAUUUGUGGCUGGACCUCAAAAUAAACAUAAACGACCCGGAGAACCAAAUAUGCAAGGGAUCCCUAAAAGACGUCGGUGUAUGUCUCCACUACUAAGAGGCAGACAGCAGAAUCCUGUUGUAAACAAUCAUAUUGGGGGAAAAGGACCACCUGCACCUACAACUCAAGCACAGCCAGAUCUUAUUAAACCUCUUCCUCUUCAUAAAAUUUCAGAAACCACUAAUGAUUCGAUGAUACAUGAUGUGAUUGAAAAUCAUGUUGCAGACCAACUUUCAUCAGACAUUACACCAAAUGCUAUGGAUACUGAAUUUUCAACAUCUUCUCCAGCCAGUUUACUGGAACGGCCAACCAAUCAUACGGAGGCUCUUGGUCAUGACCAUUUAGGAACCAAUGACCUCACUGUUGGUGGAUUUUUAGAAAAUCAUGAGGAGCCAAGAGAUAAAGAACAAUGUGCUGAAGAGAACAUACCAGCAUCUUCACUCAACAAAGGAAAGAAAUUGAUGCAUUGCAGAAGCCAUGAAGAGGUCAAUACUGAACUAAAAGCACAAAUAAUGAAAGAGAUCCGAAAGCCAGGAAGAAAAUAUGAAAGAAUCUUCACUUUACUGAAGCAUGUGCAAGGCAGUUUACAAACAAGACUAAUAUUUUUACAAAAUGUCAUUAAAGAAGCAUCAAGGUUUAAAAAACGAAUGCUAAUAGAACAACUGGAGAACUUCUUGGAUGAAAUUCAUCGAAGAGCCAAUCAGAUCAACCAUAUUAAUAGCAAUUAAAAGAAAAUAGAAUGUGGCCACUUAUUUCACUGUCUUCUUCAAAUACAAAGUAAAUACAAGACUGUUGUGAUCUUGCAUUCAUUUUCUGACAUGCAUUGUUGGCUAUUUGAAAUACUAAAAGCAAAUCUACAGAUCCUUUUUCCAUCAUUUUACAGUGACCUUUUCUUCAUUUUGGUUUAUUUUUGUAAUGUGAAAAGUAUCACUCUAAAAAACAUUUUUAAUUUAACAAACUAAAAAUAUUCCUCCAAA